RNAcentral lists this ribosomal RNA (2579 nucleotides) under Triticum aestivum (bread wheat). RNAcentral's name for it is "partial small subunit ribosomal RNA". Lineage: Eukaryota; Viridiplantae; Streptophyta; Magnoliopsida; Poales; Poaceae. The record is from RNAcentral.
AAACCCCUUGAUGCCUCACCUCCGAUUCCCACACACAUCGCUCGGUUUCCCCUCGAUAUCGAGCACACAAACCUCAAGACAGCUUUGCCGGUCGAGCUUCCUUCCAUGGCCAACUUCGGCAACUGCCAAGUACUUCUACCAACCCACUCUUCGUGGAGCAAGACAACGACAUGAACUCCUUCGUCACCAAGAGUCACCUAUUUGGUGCACAACGUGCUUUGCAUCAAGGGCAACAAGCUAUGAGUGAACGCAUCGACAACCUCGCUGCCGACUUGUGAGUCUCUGAGCAACAUACAAGGGACUACUUCGACCACAAGCUCGACGAUCACAAGCAAGAGAAUGACGCAAGGAUGGACGAGAUUCGCGCUUUGUUGCUCAACCGCUCUUCUUCCACUUCAUCCUCAACAAGAAGGACUCGCUCAAGUCGACACUCGGACUUCACCCCCUCCGGCCCAAGUACACCGACAUCAAACACUCUACACCGUCAAGCAAGCCUCAAUCCCCUACACGACACCGACUCUCAAGAGCAUCGACGAUGUCAAACCCAACAGGCUUCUGCGCUAGCAUGAGAACGGCAACGACAACGCCAGCGUGAAGAGGAAGAGUGAGCACGUCUACACCAAGUUGCACAAGAUGCCGAAGAACAACGCCAAGAACAACAACUUCAUGAAGCUCAAGCACUUGCGGCGCAACAAGCCCUCCGAGAUUCAAGUGGAGCCGUAGCCGACUGAGGCCGACAAGCUCGUGAACAAGAAGAAGCACUUCGCGAAGAAAUUCAAGAACGAAGAUUUCAAGCUCGCGUGCAUCGUCAAGUUCCUCCCCGAGCUCGACAAGCUCCUCCACAAGCUCGCCAAGAACAUCAAGUUCAUCAAGAGCAUGAUGACAAUGGAAAUCCUCCAUGACAAGAGCAACAUGAGGUUGAAAAACCUCCUAACCAAGAGUGACACGAGCUUCACAAUCAUCAACAACUUGGACGUCAUCAUCCCCGACCCCAACACAAUGAAGAGAAAUGCUACGGUAAGCUCAAGUUCACCAUGCCCAAGUUCAACGGAAGCAACGAUCCCGAAGAGUACCUAUCAUGGGCAUUGAAAGUUGACAAUAUCUUCCGUUUGCACAACUACGACGAAGAGAAGAAGAUCGCGAUGGCAUCCCUUGAGUUUCAAGAUUAUGUCCUCAUUUGGUGGGAACAAAUUAUCGAGCGCCGAGAGGCAAGAGGUGAACCACCCAUCACUACUUGGGCGCAAAUGAAGGAUGUCAUGAGAGCACGCUUUGUGCCUACCUACUACAACCGCGACCUCUUCAAGAAACUCCAACUACUCAAGCAAGGAACCAAGAGCAUUGAAGAGUACUACAAGGAGAUGGAGAUUGCCAUGAUACGAGCCAAUGUCAUGGAAGAUGAUGAGAAAACUAUGGCACAUUUCUUCAAUGGACUCAACCAUCCUAUCAAGAAGAUCACUGACUUCCAAGCAUACUCGAACCUCAUCGAGCUAGUGCAUCAAGCUACAAAGGCGGAAUGUCAAGUGCAAGACGAUUUCAAGUAUGCCAAGUUCUCAUCCAAGUCCUACGGCUUCUCCAACAACCAAGCUUCAACGACUCCAACACUGUCUAUCAAGCCUUCUACAAGCAACGUCGACAAGUCGAGUUCCAAGAAAGCUUCGGUAACUUCAAGUCAUCCUCCUACUACGAGCAACUUCAAGCCGAGAGCUUCAUCAUCAUCCUCUCCAACCGAUGAGACCGUCAAGACGAGCUCCUUCAAAUGCUUCACAUGCUGAGGCCGAGGCCACAAGUCCUAUGAGUGCACCAACAAGUGAACCAUGAUCCUCAACGACGACGGCACCUACGACUCGAUGAGUGAAGGAGAAAUGGACGCUCUUGAGCAGGUCGCCAUGCACCGGCAAGUGAAUGAUGAAGAGGAACAAGUCUUUUGCGAUGAAGAUUCAAGUCCCGCCCUUGUUGUCUCCAAGGUCUUGACUCUCCAACAUCACCAAGAAGAAGACCAAAGAUGCCACGUAUUCCACACCAAGGGCGACAUCAAUGGAUGAUCCGUCAAGGUCAUCAUCGAUGGAGGGAGUUGUCAUAACCUCACAAGUGAAGAACUUUGCUCCAAGAUCCAAUUGCCCAAGACGAAGCACCCACAUCCAUACAAAGUGCAAUAGCUUAGUGACUCCGGCACCAUCCAAGUCGAGCAUCGAGUACAAGUCUCCUUCAAAAUUGGCGCCUACGAAGACACCUUGGAGUGCGACGUCGUUCCAAUGACCGUUUGCCACCUUCUCCUUGGACGCCCAUGGCAAUUUGGUAGAGGAGUCAUCCACAACGGCCGAACGAACCACUACAAUUUCAAGAUGAAGGGCAAGGAGUACGUCCUUCAUCCAAUGUCGCCAAGCAAAGUGUUCGCCGACAAGCAAGCCACCCAUCGUGGAGAUAAUAGUGAGAGAGCGAGCCAACAAAAAGGGGAUAAUUAGAUUUAUGCCCCUAGUUGUGUCCCACUCGUCUGUUUUACCCCUAAUUCCCAAAAGUCACCGGUUAUGUCCAAGUCACUUUGAUCCUCUUAUGAUUUUGCCCUUUGACCGUUUGACCGU